CCCAGAGCUGUCACGGGCUGGGAGGGGACUCAGGGCCACCCGCCGCCCGUUGCCCGCCGCGCUCCCUGCCCGUCCCUGAGCCACAGGGCUCCCGGGCCCUGACCGUGGCCCCCAGCUCUACGCCCUCAGGCUUCUGCCCAGCUGUCCCUGAGCGACGGCUGCAUGUGGCACCCCACCACCACUCGGGGCCCACGGUGACCAGGGAGUCCCGAGCCUCAGCCACCGUGCGCCCGCAGCCCCGUGCUCCUCCGGGAAUGCUGCUGGUGCCCAAGGCACAGGGGCCCCUGGAGGUGCUGCAGACAACCCACGACACGGAGCCCCCUCUCUCAGCAGAUGGCGUGGCUGGCCGGGAGCCGUCCCUGGAGAUCCUGCCGCGGACACCACUGCGCAGCAUCCCCGUGGCAGGGAUUGAACACAGGACCUUGCACUUUCGAGGCAGGCAGCGGAACCACUGAGCUAAAUCCCCGGCCCUCUUGGCCACAUUUUUGUUGUUAUUUUGAUUUUUCUGAGAUAGUGUCUUACUGUGUGGCCCAGGCUGCCCUCGAACUCACAGUGAUCCUCUUGCCUCCGCCUCCUGAGUGCUGGGAUGAAGGGGUGGGUACCUGCUGUCCUGCUGGCUGCCAGUGCUCAGCGCCAAGCACGGUGCCUGGGACCUGGAUGGACACCGCAGUGGGUGGAGCCGUUCCCGGCUCUGUUCUGGGGCCUGGCCCUCUGGUGACUGAAGCACAGCAGGUCCUGCCGGGGAGGGCCAGGCACACUGCUGUUCCUGAGAGGAAAGUCGAGUCUUGGAGCCAUGGUGGGGUCUGCAGGGUUGAGCUCUCAGCUCACCGUGAGCUUCCCAGGAGUCGCUGCUCUCUUGACCUGGACGCGGGGUUCCCCUCUGUGGCCCUUGGUCUGGCUGAUGCCUGGGUAGUAGUGUGCAGGGCGUGAAGGGAGGCUGAGGCAGGGGGAUCCCAAGUUAGAGCCCAACCUGGCUAGCAGCGAUUUAGCGAGACUCUGGCACAAAAUAAAACAAAGAAUAAAAAGAGCUAGGACAUUGGUCAGUGUGGAGGCCCUGAGUCUGGUCCCCAGUCCUGGGAGAAGACACCAGAGGACCUCUGUCCCCAUGCAGGGAGGUGCUCUGGAUUCGGAUGGGCCCCAGGCUUUCCCUCUGUGUGACACAAGGUGUGCCGGUGUGGAGCCAGCCCUGGUGGGGAGCAGUCUUCCCAUGUGGCAGGUGUAGGAGUACUGGGGGCUCCCCUGCCUUAUCCCCUGUAGGAAGGGUGUUAGUAACACGUCUCCAAGUGAGAAGGACCACAGAGGUCAGGGGGCUUGGCAAGGUCACAGCCAGAGCUGGGAUUUGAACUCAGAUCUUGGUGUGGGGUCCUUGUUAAAGCUGCUUUUGUGGCCCUUGUUAAAGGUGGCCCUUCUGGGGGGAUGUACCCCUGUGCCAGUGUCACAGCUUAGCAAUUGGAGCGUGGGUUAGGUUCCAGCCCCAACUUGCCCUGGUUCAGUUGGCUGCCAUGUGCAGUGUAUGACCUGUGUAACUUUACAUGGCAGGCUGCCUCUGUGGCCCAGUUUGUGCUCCCAAAGAACAGGGACCACUCUGGCCUUGGGGAGCUCUCCUGGGCGUUCUGAGGGGGGGUCCCGCUUCCUUUAAAUACGCAGGAUCGCUUGGAAGUCUCUACCUGUGUGGACUUGGGCCCCGAGGAAGCAGCAUUGAGCUCCCCGCCCUGGGCCUCUUGUUCUUGUGCCCUCAGCUGUCCUUUCCCAGCUGCAUGGCUGCCAGACAGGAAAUCAGAUUCGCUGUGUUCGCACAUGCAGCUGUGACAGCCGGCAGUCGGGAUGCGGGUCGGUGGGUGUCAGGCCCGGUCCUGGCAGAUGCUCCAGGGAGUGUGUGCACGAGUGCGCGGCCAGCAUUAGCUAACUGUCGUCUGUGGCCGGGCCCUGCUUGGAGGAAGGAAGGCUCCCUUCUUGCACCCUGUGCAGUCGGGGCAGUGGGCCCAGCCACCCUGGCGAUCCCGGCCCCCCAGAAGCCCUGGUGUCAGGGCCUAGCUAGGAGAGAGGCCAUUGGUCCCCAGCACGCAGGUGCGGAGGGGCCAGGUGCCUCUGGCUGUCAGGCUGGCUGUGUGUGGGUGGAGGCCGGUCUCCCACCAGCCCUGCGUCCCAGCCCGCAGCUGGGUAGUUGGCUGGCCCUGUGCCUUUGUAUAGCACCCAGCUCAGCUCCCAGUGUUUCCUGGGAAUGCCAGGAGGUGGAGUCUGCCUUCCCAGACAGGCACUUGGCCUGCUUUUUCACGGUGUGUGUCCCCCGGGCUGCAAAGCCCUGUCAGGACUUUUUGUUUUUGUAGCCUAGGCUGGCCUUGAACUUGCAGUUCCUCCUGCCUCAGCUUCCUGAGUGCUGGGAUUACUGGCAUGCGCCACCAUGGCCAGCUUAGCGUUCACAAUCAGGGUCAGCACCAGCUCCUGGGACUCCCUGCAUCCAGCCCCCUUGUGCCCCGUGCUCCCGGGCCCUGGUGUUCAGAGUCGGCUAGCUGCCUUGUCCAGAUUCUGUGACUGUGGUGCUGUGCAGGGCUCCUGCCGCAGCUCUUGGGGUAUCCAGGAGCAGCCUUUGGAUUUCCCUUCUGGCUUUGCUUUGUUUUUGAGACAGGCUCUCAGUGUAGCCCAGACUGGCCGUGAACUUACAGUCAUCCUCCCGACUCAGCCUCCCAAGGAUUGGGACUAGACGCGUGCGCCACC
Long non-coding RNA from Heterocephalus glaber (naked mole-rat), 2715 nucleotides. The record is from Ensembl. NCBI's taxonomy places the organism in Eukaryota, Metazoa, Chordata, Mammalia, Rodentia, Bathyergidae.